CAAGUCGAGCGGAAGGUAGUGGCAACAUUGCUUUUAGCGGCGAACGGGUGAGUAAUGCUUAUCUAACUUGCCAAUUAGUGGGGGAUAACCAUGGGAAACCAUGGCUAAUACCGCAUUUGUUAUUUCGAUAAUGAAAGGGAAUCGCAAGAUUCUCGCUAAUUGAGAGGGAUAAGUCGUAUUAGUUAGUUGGUGGGGUAAUGGCCUACCAAGACCAUGAUGCGUAGCCAGGCUGAGAGGCUGAUUGGCCACAAGGGAACUGAGACACGGUCCCUACUCCUACGGGAGGCAGCAGUGAGGAAUUGUCGGCAAUGGGGGCAACCCUGACCGCGCAAUACUACGUGAAGGAGGAAGGUCUACGGAUUGUAAACUUCUGUUAGUGCGGAAGAAGGGCUGAGCGCAAGUUCAGUUUUGACGGUACGCACAGAGAAAGCCACGACUAACUACGUGCCAGCAGUCGCGGUAAGACGUAGGUGGCGAACGUUAUCCGGAAUUAUUGGGCGUAAAGGGUGCGUAGAUGGCCUGAUAAGUUAGCAGUGGGAAAUCGAGGCUCAACCUCGUGGAAGCUGGUAAUACUGUCAAGCUCGAGUGCAGGAGAGGUUAACGGAACUCCAUGUGGAGCGGUAAAAUGUGUAGAUAUAUGGAAGAACACCAAUAACGGCGAAGGCAGUUAACUAUUCUGUUACUGACAUUGAGGCACGAAAGCGUGGGGAGCAAAACGGAUUAGAUACCCCGUGUAGUCCACGCCCUAAACGAUGAGUGCUAGAUAUUGGGAAACUUGAUUCUCAGUGUCGCUAGAUAAACUCGGU
Molecule: ribosomal RNA, 806 nt
Filed under: uncultured bacterium
Lineage: Bacteria
Description: bacterial SSU rRNA
Rfam family: Bacterial small subunit ribosomal RNA
Source: RNAcentral